This is a small nuclear RNA of Camelus dromedarius (Arabian camel), 107 nucleotides long. Lineage: Eukaryota; Metazoa; Chordata; Mammalia; Artiodactyla; Camelidae. The record is from Ensembl.
GUGCUUGCUUAGGCAGCACAUAUACUAAAAUUGGAUCUAUACAGAGAAGAUUAGCAUGGCCCAUCCACAAGGAUGACACACAAAUUCGUGAAGCAUUCCAUACAUUU